Molecule: long non-coding RNA, 9047 nt
Organism: Loxodonta africana (African savanna elephant)
Lineage: Eukaryota; Metazoa; Chordata; Mammalia; Proboscidea; Elephantidae
Exons: 3
Source: RefSeq, a predicted model, not a curated record
AUGUUUCAUGUGCACUAGAAAAGAAAUUAUAGUUUGCAGCUGUUGUGUGGAGUGUUCUGUAUAAGUCUAUGAAGUGAAGUUGUUUAAUUGUAGCACUUAGAUCUUCCGUGUCUCUAUUGAGCUUCUUACUGCAUUUCCUAUCCUUCACCGAGAGUGUUGUGUUGAAGUCUCCUGCUAUAAUUGUGGAGGUGUCUAUCUCACUUUUUAAUUCUGUUAACAUUUGUUUUAUGAAUGUUGUGGCCCUAUCAUUGGGUGCAUAAAUAUUUAAUACAGUUAUAUGUACCUGGUAAAUUGUCCCUUUAAUCUUUAUGUAGUGUCCUUCUUUAUCCUUUGUGGUGGAUUUAAUUUGAAACUCUAUUUUGUUGGAAAUUAAUAUUGCCUCUCCUGCUCUUUUUUGAUUGUUGUUUGCUUGAUAUAUUUUUAUCCAUCCUUUCAGUUUUGGUUUAUUUGUGUCUCUUAACUCUAAAGCGUGUCUCUUUUAGGAAGCAUACAGACUGAUCGUGUUUUUUUAUCCAGUCUGCAACUUUCUGUCUCUUUAUUGGUGAAUUUAGUCCAUUUACAUUAAGUGUAAUUAUAGACAAGUAUGAGUUUAGUGCUGUCAUUUUGAUACCUGUUUUUGACAAUUUCAUUUUCCAUUUACUUUUUUGUGCUGAGUUUUUCUUUGUAGAAUGUGUGUUCCUCCUUUUUAUAGUAGUUGAAUUUAUUUUGGUGAGUCGUUAUGUUUAUCUUGGUUUUUAUUUUGAAGUAUGGAAUUGUUAGACCUUGUUGUGGUUACCUUAAUAUUUACCCUGGUUUGAGUAAGUAAAAACCUAAGUUGUUUCGCCCUGUAUCGCCUUGGUUUCCUCUCCAUAUGUAAUUUCUAAGCCUCCUGUAUUUAGUCCCUCUUUUUUCACUAUCGUAAUCUUUUAUAUAAUCACAUCAAUGAUUCCCUGUUUUGAGCAAUUUUUUAAUUAAUCUUAUUUUGUUUUUGUGAUUUCCCUAUCUGGGUUGAUAUCAGGAUGUUUUGUUCUGUGACCUUGUGUUGUGUUGGUAUCUGAUAUUAUUGAUUUUCUGACCAAAGAAUUUCCUUCAGUAAUUCUUGCAGUUUUGGUUUGGUUUUUGCAAAUUCUCUAAGCUUGUGUUUAUCUGUAAAUAUCUUAAUUUCACCUUCAUGUUUUAGAAUUUUGCUGGAUAUAUGAUUGUUCGCUGACAGUUUUUCCUCUUUCAGUGCUCUAUAUAUGUUAUCCCAUUGUCUUCUUGCCUGCAUGAUUUCUGCCGAGUAGUGCAAACUUAUUGAUUCUCCUUUGUAGGUAACUUUUUUUUUAUCCUUGGGUGCUUUUGAAAUUUCUCUUUAUCUUUGGUUUUGGCAGGUUUGAUGAUAUGUCUUGGUGAUUUUCUUUUGGGAUCUAUUUUGUAUGAGGUUCGGUGAGCAUCUUGGGUAGAUAUCUUUUCAUCUUUUACAAUGCCAGGGAAUUUUUCUGCCAUCAGAUCUUCCACUGUUCUCUCUGUAUUUUCUGUUAUCCCUCCCUGUUCUGGAACUCGAAUCACACGCAAAUUAUUCUUGAUAGAGUACCCCAUGAUUCUUAGGGUUUCUUCAUAGUUUUAAAUUCUAUUUGAUUUUUCUUCAACUAUAUUUGUGUCAAUUGUCUUAUCCUCCAGCUCCCCCACUCUGCAUUCCAGUUCCUCUAUUCUGCUCCUGUGACUUCCUAUUGAGUUGUCUGAAUCUGUGACUUUAUUGUUAAUCUUUUGGAUUUCUGAAUGCUGUCUCUCUAUGGAUUCUUACAGCUUAUUAAUUUUUUCACUAUGUUGUUGAAUAAUCUUUUGGAUAUCUUCAACUGCUUUAUCCGCGUAUUCCUUGGUGUUUUCUGUAGAUUGCCUUAUUUCAUUUGUGAGGUCAUUCCUGAUGUCUUGAAGCAUUCUGUAUAUAAUUUUUUUAUAUUCUACAUUUGGCAAUUCUAGGAAUGUAUCUACAUCUGGGAAUGAUUUUGAUUCUUUGAUUUGGGGGUUUGUAGAAGGAAUCAUGGUCUGCUUCUUCAUGUGAUUUGAUGUCGACUGCUGUCUCUGAGCCAUUUAUAAGAUAUUGUAAUAUUUUAUAUUUGCUCACUGAGUCUUAUCUUCUUAUUUUGUUUUGUUACAGUACACCCAGAUGGGCUACUAGAUUGUGGUAUCGUGAUUGAUGUAGCUUUUGAAUCACUUACGUCCUGUUACCAGCUUGCCUGAGCUGUUACCAGGUAUAUAAGUGUAUGAGUCCAUUCACUAUUCUUGAAUAGAAUCAGCUCAGGUGUCCUGAUAGCUGGUCACCUAGUGUGUGGUGUAGGCUCUCACCUAUUAUCUUAGAGGAGUAGUGGUGAUGGUUGUAUGCACCAGUUUCUAUUAGUGGCAGGGGGUCACAUUUCGAGGAGGGCAGGAUGCUGACAGCCUUCCUUCAAGUGUCAGUGAGGUAGGUGUGGCUCUAUUCUCUAGAGCACUCUGGUGGGUGGGCUUUGCAGCUGUAUCUUAGGCACCCAAUGCUUGGGUAGGCGUCACUAUUCUCAGACCCCUCUAGCAGGUGGCUAGGUGAUGUGGGUGGAGUCUCAGCCCUCAGUUCGCUGGUGUGGAUCAGCGAGGGCUCUGUUUAGUAGGUAGAGAGGUAUCUGACCUCCAAAACUUGCCUUUCCACUGCUGAGCUAAAACAAUUAUGGUCAGAUCUCUAUCAGAAUUGCCUUUACAUUGUAAUAGCCACCUAGUUACCUGUAGGGUGAAAGCCAAAGACUAUGGGUCUGUUAAUGCCUGGAUGGAGCUGAUUCUGUACUGUUAUUUCAGUUUAGGGAAGUCAGGGAAGGAUUUUUUCUUUGAUUGUUAAAUGCUGCUUUUCUCAGGCCAGGAGAAUGGGUUAGAAAAGAAAGAAGAAAAAAAUUCAGCAGUGCACUUCACUCUCUGGCACAGAGGAUUCCAAUGUUAAUGAAGCUGGCUGGGGCAAUGAGGGGUGGAAUCAGAUAUAUAGAAGAGAGUAGCCUGGCAAAACAUACAAAGUUACUUAUGUUGUUUGGUGAGAACUGUUUUUUCUGAGAUUCCAGAGCAUUGUGUCGCUCGUGUGUGCUGGCUGGAUCCCUGCUGAGACUGUCCCAGAGGGUUAGGGCUGCAUCCAUGCUCACACUGUCUCAAGAAGCCACAAUCGGCUCCCCCACAUUUAGUCCAAAGCCCAGCACCAAGGUUUCCUUUCUGGGACGCUGCACUCCAGGCUCCAAAACCAGUCGCUGCUUCCCUAUAGUUUUUCGUUUCCCUGUCAGCCGCGUCUGUGUGGAGCCUGCGUGUGCUGCCUGGGUCCCCUCUGAGGUUGGUCCUGAGGGUUAGGCCUAUAUCUGUUCUUCCCUGUCUCAGUAAACCACAAUCAGCCCCACCACUCUGACACCAGGAAACCGCGAGGGCUCAAGGCUGCGGCGUGGGACACUGGCUCCGGAAGCAGUCCCUGCUGCAGCGUGGCUUUCGCUCCCCCGUCACUCAGGUCAACUCCUUAGUUCUGUGUUUGAUGGUCAGGGUUUGUAGAUUGUCCUUUAUGUAAUCAGUUCACUUGUUUUUUCGAGUCUUUGUUUCAAGAAGGAUAAGCGGAAUCUUCUACCUAGUCAGCCAUCUUGGUCCUGCCCCCGUGUCUGCCUCUUUAUGUGAUUUGAUAUUGACUGUUGUCUCUGAGCCAUCUAUAAGUUAUUGUAUUAGUUUAUUUUAUGCUUGCUUUUUGUAUCCUAGAUUCUUGCUUUGUUUAGUUUUGGUAUUCCCAAAUAAGCUGCUUGAGUGCACUAGGUUGAUUAUUUUCACCUUUGAAGCUCUAAUGUACUAUCACCAGAUGGCUAGCACUGUUACCAGGCAUAUGAGCCUAGGAGUUCAUUUACUUUUCUUGUAUGGAUUCAACUCAGGUGCCCAGGUAGUUGGUCAUAAAGUGUAAGGUACAGGCUCUGUCCUACAGUCUUAGAGGGGCAGGGGUUAUUGGUGUAGGCAGAAGUAUCUGGCUGCAGUAGGGGGUCCGAGUCUGAUCAAGGCAGGGGUCUGACAGCUGUGCUCUGAGUGUCUGUGAGGAAAGUGCAUCCCUGUUCUGUAGAGCACACGGGUGGGUUCUGCAGAAGGGCGAUGGGUACCCAAUGCUUUUGGUUGUAAGUUCUGGGCGGUACUACUUAUCCUUGGAGCCCUGUCACAGGUGGCCAGGUAUUGUGGGUGGAGCCAGCAGUCCUUAGGCCCCUGAUGUGGGUAGGUGAAGACCCUGUUUAAUAGGCAAAGCAGUGUCAAACAUCAAACACCCAUCUUUCCACCGUUCAGCUGAAACAGUUGCAGUCUGGCAACAAGGGCGUAUUCUCCUGAAAUGGGCCCACACAGGUCCAUGCUGGGGUGAAAGGUAUUCAAAGCCCAUGGACCGUUUGUGCCUGAACAAGAGCUACUUCUGUCCUGAGCUCCCCAGCUUAAUUGAGCUGGCAGAUUAUCUUUCCCUCAGUUGUGAACUUAUACCUUCUUCAAGGAUGGAGAAAUGGCUCAGAGUGGUACCAGGGCCUAUCUCAGGCCCAGGGAAGUUGACAGCCACUGAAGCCGGCUUGGGGGCUGGGGGCGUGGUAAAAUAAACACAAGUAAUUAGCUUUUGCCGAGAGUGCCGUUCUUCUCUUGUUCUGGAGGUGUGAGUAGUCUGUGCAACUUGCUGUCCUUCCCUGAGCUAAACGCCUGUGGAACGCCACUGCCAGCCCCACUGCAGUCGCUCCAGGGAACGGUGCCUGAGGGUUCCUGGCUGUUCAGGUCCAGUAACUCCUCUCCACUUCUGAAUAGUCUCUCCCUCCCCCUGCCGCUCAGUCCGUUUUCUAACUUUACCUUUGAUGUUCAGGGCUCCUAGCUUGUCAUAAAUAUAAUCGCUUCACUUGUUUUUUCUGGUCUUUUUUGUAAGAGGGAUCACUGGUGGCGUCUCAAUACUCAAAACUUGAUCAUUUCUUCCUUUCACUUUAGCUACUCGACAUUCAAGAGCAACGUUCAGAGUCUCUUCCGACAUCCGUUUUGGUCUUUUCUUUCUUUCCUGUCUUUUAAAGGAUCUCUUGCUUUCCUCAUGUGUGAUGUCCUUGAUGUCAUUCCACAACUCGUCUGGUCUUCAGUCAUUAGUGUUCAACACGUAAAAUGUGUUCUUGAGGUGGUCUCUAAAUACAGGUGAGAUAUACUCAAGGUCAUACUUUGGCCCUUUUUGACUUAUUCUACUUUUCUUCAGUUUCAACUUGAACUUCCAUGUGAGCAAUUGACAGUCUGUUUCACAAUCGAUCCCUGGCCUUGUUCCGACUGAUGAUAUGAGUUUUCCCAUCUUCUCUUUCCACAGAUGUAGUCAGUUUGAUUCCUGUGUAUUCCAUCUGGUAAAGUCCACGUGUAUAGUUGCCGUUUAUGUUGGUGAAAAAAAAUAUUUGCAGUGGAUGAGUCACUGGUCUUGCAAAAUUCUUUCAUGAGAUUUCUGGCGUCAUUUAUUUCAGCGAUGCUGUAUUUUCCAACUACUUUUCCUUCUUUGUUUCCAACUUUAACAUUCUAAUCACCAGUAAUUAUCAAUGCAUCUUGAUUGCAUGUUUGAUCAAUUUCAGGCUGCAGAAGUUGUUUAAAAUCUUCAAUUUCUUUAUCUUUGGCAUUAGUGGUUGGUGCAUAAAUUUGAAUAGUCAUAUAAACUAGUCUUUCUUGUAAGUGUAUGGAUUUUAGCCUAUCAGUGACAACAUUGUACUUCAGGCUAGAUCUUGAAAUGUUCUCUUUGAUGAUAUGUAACAUCAUUCUUUUGACUCUGGUGGAAUAUCCGUGUUUGUAAGACUGCUCACAGACUGUUUCACCAGAGAGUUUUCUGGUACUGCAACAUCUACCACUAAUGUCUGUGAUCCCUUUAAAUUGGCAAAAUAAGAAUAGUGCUAUAGAUUUCUUCCAAAUACAGAAAACAUAAGUAUGAAAAUGUUCUUGCUGUUGAUUAUAUUCUUUACCAAUCUGUUUGUAUGGGAUUUUUGGUACUUCACUUGAAAAAUGAGUCCAAGGUACUGUGAUGUGAUUGUUUACUUUGUGUGGCCUUUCUAGCCAUGGUCUUAUAACAUCCACCCUGGUGCUUGGGCAGGACUGUGUGAUAGGGUAAUUGUGGCUCACCAAGGGGAUUGUUUAUUUUCCCUUCAAAGAGAACCAGUUCCAGAGCAAAGAGGAGGAUUCAACUCCCAUCAAGGAAGAACAGCCAAGAGCCGAGCGUAUAUUAUGGACCUGAGAUCCCUGCACUGAGAAGCUCCUAGAAGCAGGAGACUGAGAUAGAGAGAGGAAGCUGUAACCCUGAAGAUGCUUAAAUACAGACCAGAAGAGGAGUUUGGGGCUUGACACCUGACAUCUUAACACCAGUUCCUGUUUCUUGAGGAAGGAAGAGGUAAAAUAAAUCAGCGUUUACUGUUUCCUUCUCCAUCCCCGGAAGUCCUGAUGAAGACCCUCUCAGCUUCAACUUGAACGUGAAUAUGAGCAACUGAUCAUCUGUUCUGCAGUCAGCCCCUGGCCUGAUUCUGACUCAUGAUAUUGACCAAGUGAAGAGUGAUUCAGAGAAAAACAUGGGUAGAGUGUGACCUAAUUUCCAUAAAAACAAACAAAUGAAUGUACUUACAUGUGUCCCGGCAAAAAGAAGUGUGUAAAAGGGUACAUAUGUAUCUUUGGACACUGGACACUUCAGGGGAGCAGGUACAAUAUACUUAUGUGGGGAUGGCUCUUAUUAUAACUUCUAUAUACAAAUCUCUAUUGUUAAAUGUGUUAUAAGAAUGUAAAAGCUUUUAAAGUUUAAUAACAUCAUACAUGUAUGUGUGUGUAUUUGAAACUUUUUUUCUUUUGACUAUUUCAUAUAUGUGUUUUUUAGUUAUCUAGUUUUUUUUUUAGUGUGGCUAUAGCAGAGAUACCACAAGUGGAUGCCUUUAACAAACAGAAACUUAUUCUCUCACAGUUUAAGAAGCAACAAGUUUGAAGUCAGGGCACCAGGUCUAGGAGAAAGCUUUCUCUCUUUGUGGCUCUGGGGGAAGGUCCUUGUCAUCUAUCUUCCCCUGGCCUAGGAAAUUCUCAGCGCGUGGACACUGGGUCAAAAAGACGUGCUCCACUCCAGGCACUUCUUCCUUGGUGGUAUGAGGUCCCUCUCAUUUCUGCUGACUCUUCUCUUUGUAUCUCAAAAGAGACUGACUCAAGACUCACCCUAAUCCUGUAGAUUGUGUCCUCCCUCAUUAACCUAACUGCCUCUAAUCCCGCCUUAUUAACAUCACAGAGGUUAGAAUUUACAACACAUAAGUAAUCACAUCAGAUCACAAAAUGCAGGACAACCACACAAUACUGGGAAUCAUGGUCUGGCCAGGUUGACACACAUUUUGGGGGACACUAUUCAAUCCAUAACAAUAGAGAAAACACUGUCUUCAAUGCCAGAUUCAGAGACUUUUAUCAAUCUAUGAAGGGCAAACACAGAUAUUGAACAAAAUUCAGACCAGCGAAUUAUUGCUUGCUCUUGUAACUAAUGACUUCUUCUGGUCUCUGUACCUGGAAAUGGCCAAAAAGAAUUCUGUGAGGAUUAAUUCAGUUAUUGCUAAAACAUCUACUGCAUUUACAUGUCUACAGAUAAGGAAGAAUGCUGGACACCAUGUGUGAUUCAUUAAGUAACACAGGGACUAUUAGACUGUUGUUUUCCUUCUCUGAUAUGCCACUAUCACCUUCUCCCCUUGUUGCUCUCCUGAAAAACCCACACUUGUAUAUUCUAGGCUUUUUUCCAGGAUUGAAUUUGCAGGAAGUUGAAGAUAUAUCUUUGAAAGAUAAAAAAGACUUUGGCCACAUUGUCUUUAGACAGUCGAACUUCCCAGCCAGCCUCUGUGCAGGAUGGGAAUUCACAAUCCCUCCUACUCAGUACCUCUGAGCAGGACGGGAUUUCUGUUUCAUUAUCAGGAGACUGUGGAAUUCACCCCUCUUCAGAAAACUUACUUUCCUUUGCCUCAAACUGUCCCUCUCAGGAUCUGUCACGGUCACUCUGAGAAAUUCACAUGGGCAGCCUGUAUGGAAGUGCCCAUCCUAGAGUCCCUGCCCUUCCUUCCUUGCUCCGUAGGGCUUCCUCUGACACUUGGGGUCACAUCUCCCAGGGAGUACACACCUCUGGCACUUCCAGGGAUUCCCAGGCCCUGGGAUACUGUGAUGGGACUUGGAACUCAAUCUCUUUCUUCCCAUCCUCACCUUUGGUUAUCUGUGUUCUGUCUUCACCAGAUUUAGGAGGCCUUGUCUUCUCUUUGCUCAUUUCAUUUCAGUCAGGCUUUUCUAUUCCAACUCUCUGAUCUCAGGACAGAUCAGGUUAGACCACAGAAAAGAGAAAGACCAAGCAAACAUCACUGAUCUGUGCAGAAGCUGCUGGGAAGGGAUUCGAUUCUCAUUGGUUUAGGGUUUUAAGCCCACUGCUCACCGGCAGGCAGGUUCCCUCCAGAGUCUGGCUUCUGUCUGGUACCUUGUACUACAAAGAACUCAGUGACCAGCCCACCUUCACAGUCACACCUCCCUUAGAGCUAUCUUUGCAGAGGCUCUUUCUCAGACUUCCAUGUCCCACUGAAAUCCCAUUUCUCUUUCCUUACAAACAUUAUGCUCAUUCUCAGGGCCCUGAGACCUCAACUGCAGGUGAGUCUUGUCCUCUUCUCUCCUUGGCGGGGGGAGCUUUGGAGUGGACCUCAUGUCUUUGGACAGCUAUCCUGGGCCUUCUUCCACCUUGGUGCUCUAGGGCUGGAUCUCUCCAUGUAAUAGAGGGGGCGUGGAAGGGGCACAAGGCUAAAAGGAUGGAUCUUCCAGGAGAGGUGGGUUUAAGAAGCCUGAAUGAAGUUCUUCCCUGAAGGGUGCAUAUUUUCAGUCCAGACAUCCUGCUUCUCUCAGCCUAAGAGGCCUAGCACGUCUUCAGAUGCUUCUCCUUUGACCUUCAGGCCAUGCCUGGACCCUCUGCAGCCCGGUCUCCCACAUGUGUAGCAGCACCAGUAGGUGUGGCAGUCACUUCAGCCCUUGUCUCCUCCUCCAGAUGCUCCUGGAGGUGCCUGGCUCUUCUUGCCAGGACACCAGGAUGCUGACCAGGGACUCAG